Long non-coding RNA from Rattus norvegicus (Norway rat), 490 nucleotides. The record is from Ensembl. NCBI's taxonomy places the organism in Eukaryota, Metazoa, Chordata, Mammalia, Rodentia, Muridae.
CUGGUACGUUCCUUGCAGUAAUGGAAGGAUCCUCAGACUGUUAGUGGCUUGCAGCCCCGUCCUUUCUCACGGUGCUGGGCAGUGCCAUCCAGCUGCAGCCACCAGUCAGCCAUGAAAUCAUGCAGAGAAACAACCGACACUUUCUAAUGGGCUGCGAUGCUAAGCUAGAACAUCCUGUAGUUACCAGCAUCCACUGCGGGAUCUUCAGUUUUCAAUGGGAUUAUGGAGAUGUUAUCCAAUUGGUGACCUUGCUGGAGAAGAGUGUCUUUGUCCAGCUUUAAGGCUUCCUAUGCUCAAGUCCCACCCAGUGUGGAAGAGAUUCUUCUCCUGGCUGCCUGCAGCAGACAGUCGUCUUCUGCCUCCCUUCAGAUCAAGUAGAACUCCCAGCUCCACUUCAGUACCAUGUCUGCCUGGACGCUGCCAUGCUUCUUGGAAUGAUGAUAGUGGACUGAACCUCUGAAACUGUAAGCCAGCCCCAAUUAAAUGUUGG